RNAcentral lists this ribosomal RNA (405 nucleotides) under uncultured bacterium. RNAcentral describes it as "bacterial SSU rRNA". It matches the Rfam family "Bacterial small subunit ribosomal RNA", at positions 335 to 755 of the family's 1533-position model. The record is from RNAcentral.
ACUCCUACGGGAGGCAGCAGUGGGAAUAUUGCGCAAAUGGGGGCAAGCCCUGACGCAGCCAUGCCGCGUGAGUGAAGAAGGCCUUAGGGUUGUAAAACUCUUUCAGUGGUGAAAGAUAAUGACGGUAGCCACAGAAGAAGCCCCGGCCAACUCCGUGCCAAGCAGCCGCGGUAAUACGGAGGGGCUAGCGUUGUUCGGAAUUACUGGGCGUAAAGCGCGCGUAGGCGGACUGGUCAGUUGGGGUGAAAUCCCGGGGCUUAACCUCGGAACUGCCUUCAAUACUGCCAGUCUUGAGUUCGAGAGAGGUAAGCGGAAUUCCUAGUGUAGAGGUGAAAAUUCGUAGAUAUUAGGAAGAACACCGGUGGCGAAGGCGGCUUACUGGCUCGAUACUGACGCUGAGGCGCG